CUGUUGAGUUGGACAGAGCAAAGUACACUCACUAGUAUGAAAAGCACCCACAAACCACAAAAAAGUCGAAACAAACCCUCCUUCAAUAGAGCACAAACACACACUAUCAAUUUUCGUCUGUUCUAAAUCAAAAAUCCAUCUCUAGAAGCGACCAAAAAAAACCCCUUUCAAUUCCUUUCAGAAAGCCGGUCAUGGUUUGAACAGAAUUCAAAUCCCCAGAUGGGCUCAACUCCAGCUGCUGCUGCCAAAUCCUUCUCUCUCCUCUUUCUCUCUCUAACUUUCUUCACCAUCCUUGUGUCCUCCGCAGAUUACACAAAAUUGGUGUACAGGGGCUGUGCAGACCAAAAAUUUCAGGACCCAAGUGGAAUUUACUCACAAACCCUCAAAACCCUUUUUGAUACACUGGUCUCCCAGUCAUCCACCGCCAAAUUCUUCAAUACCACCACCGGUGAAGGCCAAUCAGCCAUUCUUGGGCUGUUUCAAUGCAGAGGUGACCUCUCAAAUGAUGAUUGCAACAACUGUGUGAAAAAGCUUCCGGAUAUGUCCCAAAAACUGUGUGGAAAAACAAUCGCUGCUAGGGUCCAACUCAUUGGGUGUUACAUGAGGUAUGAGACUGUUGGGUUCAAGCAGGUCCCCGGGACUGAGUUGCUGUACAAGGUGUGCGGGUCGACUCAGGCGAGUGGGACUGGGUUUGAUCAGAGGCUGGACACGGCACUUGGGGAGAUAGAGACGGGUGUGGAGAAUGGUAAUGGGUUUUACGCGGGUAGCUAUGAGUCGGUGUAUGUGUUGGGUCAGUGUCAAGGGGAUUUGAGCAGCGGUGAUUGUGUGGAUUGUGUGAAGAGUGCUGUGGAGACAGCUCAAAGUGACUGUGGUACCUCAGUUUCUGCUCAAGUAUAUCUUCAGGACUGCUAUAUUAGCUAUACCUACUAUCCAAAUGGGGUGCCUACCAAAUCACUGUCAGGGACAGGAGGGUCAAAUACAAAUACAAAUACAAAGAAGACAGUGGCUAUAGUUGUGGGAGGGGUAGCAAGUUUGGGGUUUGGAAUUGCAUGUUUGUUGUUUAUUAAAUCAGUGUUUAAGAGACGAGAAGGCAAGUAUGGUCCGUAUUGAUGAUGAUGAGGUGGUCACUAAGAAGAUUGCAAAGUCUUUGUCUGAACGGGGAUUCAAAAAGAGACGGAUUUGAUUGGGGGAGUGUAAAGAGAAAAGAGGAACAACUUCAAUUGGGCAAUGUGAUAAUGGCACUCCAUUUUUGUUAAUAUUUUUUUAAUAAAUUGAGUAACAAUUGUGUGUACUUUUUUAUGGAGCGUGAGAGUUUUUUUUUAAGGACUCUGUUACUUCAAUUUUUUAUACUUUUAAUAUUUUUAAUACAUGUGAGUGUAGAGUGCAAGAGCUCUGAAUAUUAAUUUUCUUUUUGUUUUUGGCAAUACAAA
This is an RNA transcript of Cornus florida, 1430 nucleotides long. It is a transcript of the gene named plasmodesmata-located protein 2-like, with no coding region annotated. The transcript has 4 exons. The record is from RefSeq and is a predicted model, not a curated record. NCBI's taxonomy places the organism in Eukaryota, Viridiplantae, Streptophyta, Magnoliopsida, Cornales, Cornaceae.